Molecule: long non-coding RNA, 2211 nt
Organism: Eupeodes corollae
Lineage: Eukaryota; Metazoa; Arthropoda; Insecta; Diptera; Syrphidae
Exons: 2
Source: RefSeq, a predicted model, not a curated record
GUUUUUGGAGUACGAGCGCCACAACAUCCAUUUCAAUAGACGUUUUUAAAAAAAACUCAUUUCCACAACACCUAGAGCGCAAUCUUUUUCGCUUUGCUGUUGAUGGACCGGGUGUUACGACUUCGUCUUGAGCAUCGAUCGAAACAUCUAGGACUGAAAUUUAUUCCUCAUCAUCUGCGAUGUGACUAUCAUAUUCAUCACACGUCUCUUCAUUUCCGAUUUCAUCGAAAGCUUUUUCGCCGUUUCUUCUUCUUCAUCAUGGUUAUAUGAUGGAAUUGGAGAAUUAUUACAACUACCACUACAAUUUGCGCAUAUAACGGAGCAUUUUAAUCCAGCUUUUCUGCAUCCACAGGCUUUUUUGACAUCCUUUUAUACACUUGCAAGAAAUAAGUUUCAAUAACGAUUCUGGAGCGGGGGCUGAAGCAUCCUAUCAGGAAUAAGUCCAUUUUUGUUUCUAUUCCAUCCCCAUUCUUCUGCAUUUUUUUCAUUUCCAUAAAACUGCUGAACCUGGUGAUAAUCUCGGAAUGAAUGUUGUCGUGCUGCUGCUUCUGUUGGUGGUAGUGAUGCAAUAUUAAAUUUACUUUUAUAUGCUGAUUUUGUGAAGCAUACAUAUCUAUAUUCGUUUAAAGACAUGUUUUUUUUACUCUUCACGUCACUAUAACCGUAUAAUUGAAGGAGGAAACGUUCUCCUGCCUUAGCAAUGAUCUCUGGAUCAGCGUUCGGAUUUUUAAAUACCUCAAUGACUUCGUUCAAAUCAGGAUUUUUUCGGAGUACAUUAAAGAAUUUCAUUUUUCCUUGAUUAAAGUGUGCACAUGUGGUAUCACAGCCACUGAAGGCAUGCAAAAAUAAAAUAUGAUCUGCAGCUGUUUUGUCAAUGAUACUUUCAGUGGAAUAGAUUUGUUGGGGAACUUUUCCUUUUCCUGGUUUGAGAAAGUACACGUUCGAUCUCGUACAUAGAGCUGUGAAAAGAAUCAGAAGAUCUAUAUCUUCGUCGACCACUAUUACGGUAUCGAAUGCUGGUGAAACAUUUAUUGCGAUGUUGAUGAUUAACGUAUCCGCAUCUACCGUGGCUUGUGAUACCAUGAAAUUUUCCGCUUCAAAUUUUGUUUUCAACAUUCUAAUGAGGCGGUUCUUGUUCGCAUCAUUCCCCAGGAAUUUAUCUUGUGACACAGUUGGAAUCAUUGUCUCGUCAAAAAGUAUGUCUACUGAAGCAGCUAUUCUUGAUCGUCGGGAUCGUUCUGCGUAUUUCGUACUACGGGUUGCUUCAUCUUCAGGAUAUCCGUCGAAUACGAUUAUGGCAUUGGAUUUAUAUUUGGAUCGAACGUACGUGAUGUAAUUAUUGCAAAUAGAUGCAAAUGGUUCACCGCGAUGCCAAAUGACUCGGUGUAAUAAGUGCCCUCCGUCGAUGACGUACAUUAUAUCACCAAAAUGUGUGUCUCCAAAAUGUUGCUUAAACGCCUUAUACAUCGAAGAUUUAAUGCAUUUACGCAUGCCUUCGCCAUUGAAAAGAGAUAAUGGAAAUGGAGCAAGUUUGUACGCAAGAAAGUUUUUAAGUUCCUCUUCAGAUUCUUUUGCAAUACACAUUCGUUGGAAAAUUAGUAAUGGAUUAAUCGGUUCAAUUUCACCUUCUAUUGGAAUGCCUGCAGUCAUAACACCAAGGGAUUUUAUCCUGUCAUUCCGCUUGAAUUUCACCGUAUAAAAAUCGCUGCCAAUGAUUUUAGAAAUGCCAGUGCAACCAAUUUCUCGAGCCAUGUAACAAUUAAUGUUGUCAUCUCCAACAACUAUAGUGGUUAUUGACAUAAUAUCCUUUAUUUGUGGAAAAGGUGAAUGGUGGACAACCCAUUCAUAAGCUUUUUUACAUCGUCAUCGUCGCGGCUUACUCGUGAACUUCUCAUUUCGACGUGCUGCUCGGAAGCAGAAAAAGUAACAUUGCAAAAGUUUUCUACUUCGUCGCAAAUAUUGUGCAAGAAUACCAUUCCUAAAGUCCACUUGGAAAGCACGCUUUCGUUUACUCCUCGUCCAUGAGUAAGACCACCUAGGCAUUUCAUCGUUCUCAUGAGCGAUUGCUCAAUUGUCAUAUCAGACCAUGUGCCACACCAAAAUUUGUCAGAACGUCUAAUUGUAAAAUAUCCUUUAGUUGUAAAAAGUUCGUAUUCUUCAGCUGACAUUCGUUUCUUUAAAUCCGACAUGCCCUGCAAAUAUAAAUGGCAA